Molecule: transfer RNA, 68 nt
Filed under: Marmota monax (woodchuck)
Lineage: Eukaryota; Metazoa; Chordata; Mammalia; Rodentia; Sciuridae
Description: tRNA.Ala
Rfam family: tRNA (bases 5-65)
About the family: Transfer RNA (tRNA) molecules are approximately 80 nucleotides in length. Their secondary structure includes four short double-helical elements and three loops (D, anti-codon, and T loops). Further hydrogen bonds mediate the characteristic L-shaped molecular structure. tRNAs have two regions of fundamental functional importance: the anti-codon, which is responsible for specific mRNA codon recognition, and the 3' end, to which the tRNAs corresponding amino acid is attached (by aminoacyl-tRNA synthetases). tRNAs cope with the degeneracy of the genetic code in two manners: having more than one tRNA (with a specific anti-codon) for a particular amino acid; and 'wobble' base-pairing, i.e. permitting non-standard base-pairing at the 3rd anti-codon position.
Source: RNAcentral
GGUUUGUAGCUCAGUGGUAGAGUGCUUGCCUUGCAUGCAUGAAGCAUUGUGUUUGAUCCUCAGCACCA